UUCAUCUCUGUUAGCCGAAUGUUGAAAAGGAAGAAACCAUCCAUGGCUUCUUAGGUUUCGGCAUUUACUUAGCUUGAUUAAGGUAUGUUUUGGUUUCGGUUUUUGAUGAUUUUUACGUUUUUGUGAUCGUUGCUUCGAGUACUACAAGACCCAUGCUUGAAUUUUUGAAAUUUAUGAUGAUUUGUGUUUUUCCAUUGAUGAUAGCUUGUGAUUUUUUAUGUUUGAUAAUGAAAUAUGAAAUAUGAAAAUAUGUGUUAGAUUAACAUGUUUUAUCUUGGGAUUUUUUUGAUGAAUUUGAGUAAUUAGGUUUAAAUUGUGAAAAUAAAAUUUUGGAGGACUAAAAUGCAAAAUAAAUGAAAUGCAUGGACUUGUAUGAGUAUAAUAAAUAUUCGGCCUAAGCAUAGUCUAGUCAAAAUUUGAAUGUUUUGUGUUUUGUGUAAUUUGGACUAAAUUGUGAAAAGUGUAAAUGUUAGGAGCAAAAUGGUAAUUUGCCCAUUUAAGUGUUUUUGAACUAAAUUGAGUGAAAAUAUGGUUGAAUAAGUUUAAUUUAAAUAUGUUUAGAUCAAGAAAAGAGAAAUUCGAAUUUGGAUCGGGGGAAAACUAAAGUCGUCGACUAGCUGUUCCGUUCCGUUUUACAUCGUCGAGGUAAGUCUAUUAGCAAUUUAAUGUUAUUAAAUCAGAAUAUAUAUAUCUAUCAUACAUUUAAUAAGCUGGAAUUAAUAGUAUAUAAAUCAAAUAGAACUUUGUGAUUUUCAUAUGUGUUAGCAGAACAUAUGAAUUGAAUUAGUUAGAUUCAAAUUAGUGGUAUAACUUACAUGUAUAUUAGCUAUGGUAUGCUUUAAGCUCAAGGAAAUGAAACUAAUAGUAGAAUUUACAUGGUUAAAGUUCGAAUGUAUGAUACAAGUUUAUUGAGCUGAACUUAAUAUUAUGAAUUUCAUAUAUAUAUGUGGUUCGAAUAUAUAUUCAAGUUCUUGAGCUGAAUUUAAUGUAUGAAUUUUAUAUACAUAUAUGGUUCGAAUAUUAGUUACAAAUUCCUUGAGCUGAAGUUAAAGUUGUGAAUUGUACAUAUAUGUUCGAAUGUGUGUUUGCUAUGGAGAAUUUAAUAUAAUUAAAUUUUUACGGAGAUACAGUUAUUGAGUAAGACUUAGGUAAUCAUAAAGAAUUAUACGAAAGAUCAUCUUUGUAUAUGAGAUUUUUAGACUUUACGUCUAGCAUGCUUAAUGCCGGUGAAAUAUUUCAGACUUUACGUCUAGCAGACUUAAUGCCGGUGAAAUAUUUCAGACCUUACGUCUAGCAGGUUUAAUGCCGGUGUAUUGAAUCAGGCUUCAAGCCUAGCAGGCUACGUGCCGGUGAAUUUGUUCAAUAUAUGUAUUUAGAAAGUUUAUGUUUAUUGUCAAUGUAAUAUCAAAUGGAUUGUAAAAAAAUUUAAAUAAACAGGUAUGUAUUAUGAUAUAUCCUAUUCGAUGUUGAGGUAAGUAUAUUGAUUGAUUGUAUAUAAAAGUGAUAUUGAUAGGUAUAUAUAUGUAUUUGUCAAAUAAAUAUUUGGCCUUAUGCUAUAGUAGUUUUAAUUCAAAAGUUUAUAUAAUGUUUAUUAGAUGUAAUGAAAAUGUUCUAAGGUUAAUAAAUGUUUAGAUAAUAAUUAUAUGUGGUACUUACAGUUUUAAUAAAUUUACUUAAGGAAUUAUAUGAUUCUUAUAUAUUUUUGUUAUGCCAAAAGACUUACUAAGCUUUAUAAGCUUACUUGGUGUGUUUACGUUUCUCUAUUUUAUAGACUUUUAAAUCAAACUUCAAGCUCGGGGAUCGUUAGCAGAGUUCAUCACUCUAUCUACUGUUUCGGUAUUUAAAUGUUUGAACUCAACUUAUGGCAUGUAUAGGCUGGAUGAUAUUUUGAAUGUUGUGUUUUAAAAUUUUGUAUCUGUAAUUAAUAACCAUGCGAAAGUGGCUUAUUUCCUUGCGGUUGAGUUUGUUUUCAAUUCAUAUGUUUUGUACUAGUGGUUUAAAACCAAGCUUAUACUUAGGCAUAUUUGAUUUUGGUUUAAGCUUAUGAUAUA
RNAcentral lists this long non-coding RNA (2051 nucleotides) under Gossypium barbadense (sea-island cotton). Its description in RNAcentral is "long non-coding RNA (GBAR_LNC015276)". The record is from RNAcentral. Lineage: Eukaryota; Viridiplantae; Streptophyta; Magnoliopsida; Malvales; Malvaceae.